RNAcentral lists this ribosomal RNA (492 nucleotides) under uncultured bacterium. RNAcentral describes it as "partial 16S ribosomal RNA". It matches the Rfam family "Bacterial small subunit ribosomal RNA", at positions 29 to 507 of the family's 1533-position model. The record is from RNAcentral.
AGUGAACGCUGGCGGUAGGCCUAACACAUGCAAGUCGAACGGCAGCACAGUAAGAGCUUGCUCUUACGGGUGGCGAGUGGCGGACGGGUGAGGAAUACAUCGGAAUCUACUUUUUCGUGGGGGAUAACGUAGGGAAACUUACGCUAAUACCGCAUACGACCUACGGGUGAAAGCAGGGGAUCUUCGGACCUUGCGCGAUUGAAUGAGACGAUGUCGGAUUAGCUAGUUGGCGGGGUAAAGGCCCACCAAGGCGACGAUCCGUAGCUGGUCUGAGAGGAUGAUCAGCCACACUGGAACUGAGACACGGUCCAGACUCCUACGGGAGGCAGCAGUGGGGAAUAUUGGACAAUGGGCGCAAGCCUGAUCCAGCCAUACCGCGUGGGUGAAGAAGGCCUUCGGGUUGUAAAGCCCUUUUGUUGGGAAAGAAAAGCAGCAGGUUAAUACCCCGCUGUCCUGACGGUACCCAAAGAAUAAGCACCGGCUAACUUCGUG